CUUUAUAAAUUUCUUUCAGUGUAUAUAAGAAACCUCUUCCACACCUCUAUAUGAAAGCACAACCAAGAACACAUGGCAUUUCUUACGGUUCCAACUGCUGAGUACAGAGAGCUCUGUAUAUGGAGACUGCCCUUGUGUUUCCAAAUGUUGGAAAGUCAUUUCUACCUGUUGAUUUAUAAGGAUGACAUUUUUACAGGCUUUCUACAUCUUACCAGGAUUUAAUACUGAACUAAAAGCAGAAAUAAAUGCUGAAAAUAAGGGGGCCAUUCUUGGUGGCUUGUGCCUUGAUAACUAUUAUGGGAUCCUCUGCAAUGUCAUUCAGUGAUAUGAUGGAGAAGCAGUCAACUUUUAGAAAUGUUGUUACCACCCCAUGAAAGGAACAGAAGGCAAGUACGCUGAAUUCCUACUGAAGCUUCUCAAGGUUGACAGUGGCUGCUCAGUCUCAGGUUCCGAGGUGAACAAUAAUCUAAUUAUCUGAAAUGCUUUCCCAUUGCAGUUGGAGGAGAAAGUGAAACAGGACAGGACAACUUCAUUGUUAGUACCAGCUGCAGACGCCAAUCAAACCAAACAACGCUAAUUAAAACUGAGAAAAAGUACAGCAAUGCUAAAAAGAAGGAUAGUGUAUUAACCCCCGAAACAGUCUCUCCCUGAGAUAAAAGAUGGCCAAAGAAUGGAAGAUAAAGCAAUCCUUUUAUGAGAACUGAAAGAGAUUAAGCAAUAGACUACAAUGGGAACCAUCUCCCAAGAAAAAGUUAUACUCAAUACAGAGAAAUUUUGAGGAUUCUAAAAUGAUUAAAACCAAUUGAAACUAGAAUUAUUUAAGCAUUCUGUGAAGCCAUUCUAAGUAUCAUGGGGAAGAGAACCUUCACAAGAAGCAUUCACAGUUGUCUGAAAUCUUCAAACAUUGGUAGAAUUUCUCAGUGUUCAUCUUCUCUGGAACUGUGUACCUUCAAAUCAUCUGUAGACACUGGUCCUGCCACAAGAUAAGGAAUCACUGCUACAGUAUAGAGCGACUGCAUGUGUAGCAAUGACAAUGAUUGUAAGCUUUUAGGGGCAUGGAUAAUGUCAUACAUCACAUUUCUCACCAAGGACCUGCGGCCAAUGUAGUCCAUAAGCAUCACAGAGCCAAGCCUGGGGCUGAUGAUCGCACAGCUUAACUGCAAAUGCAGGACCACAGAAACUCUGAUUUCCAUGCUGUCAUGUGAUGGGAAAUACAGAUGCUCCUUGAAUAUUGAUGAGGUUACCACCCAAUAAGUCAUCUUAACUUCGAAAACCUCAUGUAAAGAAUGCAUUAGGUACCCCAACCUACUGAACAGAUCAUCCUAUUUUAGCAGCCCAGCG
This 1341-nucleotide long non-coding RNA is filed under the name Marmota monax (woodchuck). Lineage: Eukaryota; Metazoa; Chordata; Mammalia; Rodentia; Sciuridae. The record is from RNAcentral.